Small nuclear RNA from Artibeus jamaicensis (Jamaican fruit-eating bat), 108 nucleotides. The record is from RefSeq and is a predicted model, not a curated record. NCBI's taxonomy places the organism in Eukaryota, Metazoa, Chordata, Mammalia, Chiroptera, Phyllostomidae.
GUGCUUGUCUCCACAGCACUUAUACUAGAAAACUGGAAUGAUAGAGAGAAGAUUAGCAUAACCCUGUUUAAAAAUAGCAUGCACAUUGAUGAAGUAUUUUAUAUUUUU